RNAcentral lists this ribosomal RNA (497 nucleotides) under uncultured bacterium. RNAcentral describes it as "partial 16S ribosomal RNA". It matches the Rfam family "Bacterial small subunit ribosomal RNA", at positions 28 to 507 of the family's 1533-position model. The record is from RNAcentral.
GAUGAACGCUGGCGGCGUGCCUAAUACAUGCAAGUCGAGCGAACAGAUGAGGAGCUUGCUCCUCUGACGUUAGCGGCGGACGGGUGAGUAACACGUGGAUAACCUACCUAUAAGACUGGGAUAACUUCGGGAAACCGGAGCUAAUACCGGAUAAUAUAUUGAACCGCAUGGUUCAAUAGUGAAAGACGGUUUUGCUGUCACUUAUAGAUGGAUCCGCGCCGCAUUAGCUAGUUGGUAAGGUAACGGCUUACCAAGGCAACGAUGCGUAGCCGACCUGAGAGGGUGAUCGGCCACACUGGAACUGAGACACGGUCCAGACUCCUACGGGAGGCAGCAGUAGGGAAUCUUCCGCAAUGGGCGAAAGCCUGACGGAGCAACGCCGCGUGAGUGAUGAAGGUCUUCGGAUCGUAAAACUCUGUUAUUAGGGAAGAGCAAAUGUGUAAGUAACUAUGCACGUCUUGACGGUACCUAAUCAGAAAGCCACGGCUAACUACGUG